UGCCUAUCAUGACUGAAGCCCUGGACUCC
Molecule: non-coding RNA, 29 nt
Filed under: Mus musculus (house mouse)
Lineage: Eukaryota; Metazoa; Chordata; Mammalia; Rodentia; Muridae
Source: RNAcentral